CGGCUGCGCAGCGCCGCGGGGCCGCCCGCAGCUGCUGCGGAGCGGUCGCCGCUACCGCUCCCCGCGGUGCCCGGGGCGGGUCUGCCAACCUCGGCCGAGCCACACGACCCGCGGCGGGCCGAGACGCCGCCCCCGUAGGAUCGCGUGUUAAAGCAGAACCUCCCCCCGCCCUCAGCCGCAGUUGAAAUGAGUUCUGCUGCUAUCGUAAGUCAUGCUACGGCCACACACCGGGAUGGAGCCGGUGAGGUAGCGCACCGGCUGGGCACGCGUCGUGUCGGGUGAGUGCUCUCAGCUCGCUGCAGCGCGGGGAGGCCUCGGGCAGGAGCCCGACCGUCCGUGCGCCCACUGCUGCUGCGGUGCCCAGUCCAGGGUAACCCAGAGGAGCGCUGCGUGGGCUGCGGGGUGACGCAUCUCUCCUGCGAUGCUCACAGGCGACUGUAUGGGCAGUGCUGAUUUCCUACCACCGUCCGACACCAGCGGUGCUCUCCUUCCGGCUGCCUGUGGCAUCGUGUCAAGGCCCCAGGGCAGCUAGUGUUGCCCAUACACGAGGUCCUUCUAAGCCUUCACCCAAUGGCCGUCCAUCCGACGGACCGCUGCUCCCUCCUUGCCACAGCCCGUGGGCCUAUCUCACACAGAGCAGUCCAGCUGGCACUGCCCCAAACCGAAGGAGAUGGCGUCUUCUCCUGACUUACACAGAGCCACAGGAGCAGUGCCACAAAACAUAGCCACAUUACAGGGAGGCAUCCUGAUGGCCAAGUGGGGCUGCAGUCAGGCUGUACACAUUUCUCCACGUGCAGACAAACUUGUGUAGUGUACUAAAGUCUAUGGCCAUUUUCAUCUCAUAUGGACAAAAAAAAAAAAAAAAAAAAAAAGCAGGGUUUAUGUGAAUUCUUUAAUUAGACAUGAAAUUGCCAUGCAAAGACGCUAAGGAAGUAUGCGGUUAUGCAACUGGAGUCCUAGAGGAAAAAGUAAACAAUUUUACUGAGAAAAACAGAUUGAAAACAAUUAUGACAUAAAGAGGGAAGUGGCUGGAGGUUUGGGCUCUUUUUUCCCCCUUCUCUUCUGAAACCUAAGAACAUCUGCAUGUCAUCUUCAACUUGGUCCCUCUUUGGUGUUUCUCAGCACAUACUGGUUCAGUACCAUGGUCAUUCCUGACUGGAACUUGGUACACAGCUCUGUACAGGAGCUCCAGUGUAAGGGGCCGUAGUGUCAGCACUUCUCUUGGUCACUAAGGGAAUGUAUCUCAUCUGAGCCAAGCCCUUAUUUAUGCCAAACUUUUGCAAGUUAUUCGACAUGCCUAGAAGCUCCAAACCCCCCAUGGUGUGCUGCUGAAAGGCAGCUGGCAUGACCAAGCCCCUGGCCCUGCACGCACCAUGGAUCUGGGUCCACCACCGGGCAGCUUGGUGCCCAGGGCUCCGCUGGGCAUGGGGUGUCCUCUGUUGUAGCACCAGGGUCUAGCUCACAGCAUCAUGGCCAGCCCUCCCUGGCAUACCGUGCUAGGCUAAGCAAGGUGACUUGGCUAGUUUGGCAAAGGGAAUAAAGCCUUUAAAAAUGUGAUGUGGUGAGAUAGCAUUAAAAUCUAGGAUGUGUGCCUUCAAGAGUCAAGGAUACAGCUUAAAACAAAAACAAAAAAAGAGCCAGAAGAAUAGGAAGAGAAGGCACACCAUGUGAUUGUAAGUUACUGAGAAGGAACUUCACAUGUGAGCUGAGGAAAUGCAGCAUUGUAAAUGUGCUAUUUAUAUAGUGCUGAAAGUGUACUUUUACAGGGACAUAAACACUCUUCACUCCAGUGCAUAUAAUCGGCCCUUCUGAAGCAGAUCAAGACGGUGCCCUGUUAGAGCCAAUUCAGUCUAAGUUCAAAAACCAAGCAAAUCUUAACUUUGAGAAAUUUCAAACCAAAAUUUGGUCUGGGCUGAUGUCACUCAACUGGUCCAAGCCUUGCCAUUAAGAACAUGAUUUUCCCAACUCUGCAGCUCUUACAUGACCCAGUAAAAGAUGUGAAGAAAAGAUGUCAAAUGCCACCAGCACCAACUGGAGAGCACCUUGGUCGAACCCUGGUCUGAGAUAGUGAGAGAUUUUAAAUGAGCCAGCCUAACAGCAUGGAAGGAGACCAGCAAGUAAAGUGUUAUUGUGAGGAGAGCGAGGACUGCUUCAAAUCAGACAGAGCUUGCCAGAACAUAAUGGUGCCUUGUAACACAGCUAAUCAUGCUGAAUAAAACAGAGCCUUAAACACAUUCAGGACUAGAUUCUCAAUGGAUCCUUCCAUUUAGUGUGUGGCAUAAUUUUUUUUUUCUAACCAACUGUAUUUUGUAUCACAUGGGAUGGUUAAUACAAUUCUGAAAAAAAAAAAUCAUAAAAUAUGAAUAAAUAACCGUAAGUUGUUUACACAAAUAAACAUUCUGGGGCAUGGGAUUUUAUUCAGUAAUUGCCUAUUGGUCAUAAAACAUGCCUGAGAGCCCCAAGUACUAUUUUAUUGCAUUUAGCAGCAACAAUUAGCCUCUCAAUUUUUCACUGUUUUAACAGACACGAUGGGUUUCUACUGUGAGAAGAGAUUAAAAAAAAAAAAGCAACGAACAAACACAACCAAAAUGCAGGCUCUUCUAUACAGCCAUACACUCCAUAGGCUUACGUGCAAAAAGCCUGAGCCAUGUUUGAUGAGGUGAAGGAACAAACAGGCAGCAGACCAUUUUCCCUCCUACAUGAGGGACAACCAAGAGGAGAGGGAGCAGUGAGGAGUUUUAAGAUUCUCUCAGAGGUACCACAGGCAAUUCCUUACAGCUCCAGAUCAGAAUAAGGGCAAAACUGGAAACAACAGGAAAAGCUACAGUCCUUAAUGUAUCACUUGCUUUAUUCCAUUGCCCAUGAGCCAACAGAAGUAGAAGAAAUCCCCAGAGAACAAGAGCCCAGAGAACUACUGAGUUAGCACAUCUAAUGCUUUCAUGUUGGCUUAAGUUAAAAUUGCCCAGAAUUCUGGGUUUUGUUCAGGUUGGAUAUUAGGAAAAACCUUCUCUGAAGGAGCAGUAAUGUAUUGGAACAGGCUGCCCAGAGAAGUGGUAGAGUCACUGUCCCUGGAGGUGUUCAGCAAGCACGUAUAUAUGACACGUAGGGACGUGGUUUAGUGAGCAUUAUGGUGGAUGGGUUGGCGGCUGGACUUGAUGAUCUCAGAGGUCUUCUCCAAUCUUAAUGAUCCUAUGAAUUUUUACAUUGAAUAAUUUCUGUAAAACAGAGAGCGUUAAGUUUUGCAAGAGAGAGUAUUUGUGAGCUGGAACAUUUUUUCUUUGCAGAAGAUUAAUCAAGAUAAAUAAGUCAUUUGGAAACACUUGUAGUAGAUAUUCAGGUAGACACAGCCACCGCAAGGUAGAAAGUCACAUCAAGAGGACUCACUUACUUUGUGUAGACUCUUGUAGCUGCAAGACAAGAGAAGUGCAGCUGUGACAGAAAUUGGGGGAUUCCACUCAGGUGAACUGCAGAUGUGAGCAAAGAUACACACACUGAUGCAGCACAGUUAGCUUGCAAUUUGGAUAAUUAACCCAUGGGUAAUCAAGUAUUGAUGGCAUUGCACUAACUGCAGAAGCUAUGUCCUAGAAACAUUAUUGGGAAUAUCCAUCCUGUAUCUUCACCUCCUAGAAGUCCGACCCAUUUGGACAGCUGACUGACCUACUUCCAGCGUGUCACUGCUCCCAGCACACCAGCUCCCAGCCCCAAACACAUGGUUGCUUCCAGCAAGGGAGAGAAAAGGAGGCAGGGGCUACAGAUGUUCCUCACGCAUACAAUCAGCACGCCCCCCCCCCACCAAAGUUUAAUAAGGAUUGUUAGUACAUCAUUGUAGCUGGUAAUUGUGUAGGUACACAUGGUAAUUGCAUGUAUUUGCACUAAUUAUGUAAAUGCACAAUAAUUAAAGCUCCAGGGUUUUCAUGGUAAAUUUUUAAAACACUCAUGGAUUUGUCAUGGCAAAAGUGUCAGUCAUGUAACCUAGUGGGGAAGGAAAGGAGGAGGAGGCUCAGGAGUGCACACUUCUUAAAUAAAAACAGAUAUUUUUGCAUGAAUAACUGGAGAGAGGAUACUAUUUUAUCAUCAAACAGCGCUGUCAUGCCUGGGCACAACUUCUUUCAGACUCUCUUAUCAGUUAGAAUAAUAACAAUUAAAAAUUUUUUAAAAAAUGGUUUUCAUGAUAGGUCAGAACUAAACACUCAGCCACCAACCUGACUUGUGCUUAAGCAGAGAUAUUCCUCCCUGUGCCACCUCAUUGCAGGUGUUCUUGCUGGACCACACAGUGCCUCUGCAGCCUUGCUAUCUCAUGCAGGUGCCCAGCUUACUCGGGGCCACUGCAACCAACAGCCAACACAAGAGCUUUAAGCUACCGAGGCCAAAUACCUUAAGACAAGACACAAAGGGGAGCUUCCUCAGGAUUUACAUCACAGCUUUAAGAGGAUUUAGGGGAUUCAUAGCCACACAGUUACUUAUUUAAACCUAACACUAUAUACGUGGGUCAAAAAAUCCCGCAUCCAUGGCAACUACCUUCAUUGUGCCCCAGCAGAUUCCGUAUGGUUCAGGUGUUGUUUUCUUUUAGGCAUUUGAAGACACUUAAAAAAUUUUAAAGCUAAAUUAAAACAAAGCAAAAAGCUACAUGAUGAAAAUUGAACAAAUCUAGUGAUACAAAAAUUAUUUUAAAAGCAGAUUUGAUUUUGGGGGUCCAAUUAAACAGGAGAAGCUGUCUAGUAUAGUGACUAUUUUCUACUUCAUUUCUAAGAAUAUUUUCAGGAUUUUUUUUAUUUCCUGUGGUGUUAAGAAUGUCUGUAUUUGUGCCUGAUAGAGAUCAAAGACAGUAAAGCAUCAUUUUAAAAUGUUGGAUUUGCAGUAACAUGUUUGUUAAGUCUUUGAAAAUCUUGAAGGAGUACAGGAGGAUUUCUCACAACUGUACUCUUUCUGAGAAAAAAUAAAUAAAUAUUGCUAAAACAGUGAUCUGUUGAAUUAAUUUUCUUUUAGUUCUAUGAUAAAUUCAUCUGUUCCUCAGAUAAUGGGUAGAGGGUGUCUAAAAUUCUUAAAAUAGAGGGCUUGUGUUUGGGACUGGAAAGCAGGCGAGUUGGGUUAUAGCUGUAGCACUUUGUCCAUCGACUGUAGGGAAUUUAUUCUGGCUUGUUUUUGUUGUUCAGCAGCAUUGUGAGGCUAAGUUAGUGCUUUAAUUUUUGUUAAUGCAGGACCAAAGGUCUUUCAGAUGUUUAUGUCUAGUGGCAACUCGUAUGAUAAAACAUUUGCUUCCAGCAUCAUGACUACGCAGACCGAGUAAGCCUGCAAUCCGGCAAGGUCCCUCAGACCUGGUGCUCCUCCACAUGCCACACAAAUGUGUUUGCAUAAGUAGGAAAAAUGCCCAGUUUAUGAAAACUGUUCUGGUUAAUCAGAUUUGCAAAAGCAGUUCGGUGGUACAGCUGACAUUCGGAUUCCUUCACAAGAAGAGUUGUAAGGUUGUCUUUUCUGAAAAUCAUGUCCACGGUGCCUCAAGUUGAUAGCACGUGCAUGAAAACACCUGCAGUUAGCAACGGGCUUAUUUCCUACUUCUGUGUGAUUCUUUUGGUCUGUGUGAACAAUAUGAAUAAAUAUUGUUAAAUAUAAGUAGAUCUAAAUAAAUACAGAGAUAUGCAUAUUGAUAUGUAUCACAGGUGGUGUUUGUGUAAUGAACUGAUUGCUCUGGGAUCCUUGCACGAGCAAUUCUGACACAAAUGACAAAUCAGUGCUGAGUGCUGGGACACGUGAAGGUGUCCUUUGCUGAAUAUUUGCAACCAGAACAUCUAGGAAAGGAAGAUAUUCUUAGAAAUCUAGGCAACAGGAUUUGCUCAAAAAUCCAUGGCAAAUUCAUGACCAGAACCUGUACCUGAACCUGUUCCUGACUUGUGAGCUGAACUGGUAGGUGCCUUGUUCCAACAAGUCAGCCACAGUACAGGUGUAUUUUAAAUCACUGUGUUGAGUCAUUCUCAUUUAAAUGUAGGCUAAACUACCUGAGUGUGCUGUCCUUGCUAACCUCCAUAAGCUUGCUGUGAAGUUUUCUCUCUACAGAGCAGACAGAGCUCAUCGGCUUUGUCCCUCAUGUGAGCCACAGCCAGGCAGCUAUUGCCUAUUUGCUGCAUCACAAUAUAUGGCUACAGAGGGAAGGGUGUGAGCAUUUGUUUGCUUGCUAGGCUUGUUCCUUUAAAGGGGAAGAAUUAUCCUGUUAUCUCAAGCAGAAUUACGCUUGUUCCACUCUGUCUUGCCCUCAAAAAUUUAAAAGCUGAAAAGUAAUCUUCUAAGUACUUUUUUAGCUAAAGGGUUUUCUUUAAUUUCUAUACAUAUGCAUUUUCCAGUAUACAUGCUGGAAUAGCAUCCAUUUGAUUUCCUGUUAUUGUACAUAAUUCUACAUUUUUUUGUCAGUGCUUUGUUUUAAACAAAACAGAGGAACAUAUAGCAAGUUUGUCUUGAAUUAACGGCUUCCUGACAUUUGAUGAAAUUCUUUAUACUAACUCUACUUUUCCAUAUUUCCUUUCUGGAUUUAUUUUGGCAGCUGGCAUGCAGCAGUUAGAUCCUAUCUGGUAGGUAGAGCAAAAAGAGUCCCAACAUGUAGAACUACCUUUAAGAGCACUAAGUACUACCUAGACUUCAACUUUAAAAACCUGGAAAAAUCCCAAACCCAGGUGAAAGAAUGUAUGGCAUACGUUAUAGGGCUACUGUUACUGGGGUUUGUUUAAAUACUGAAUAAAACUCAAUGGAGAUUUUCAGAAUUAUUUCUGUUCAGAUUCUACAGUAUUGUGGGGAAUGUAGAGGUUAGCAAUGACACCUGCAACACUGUGUCCUAUACUGUCUUGAUAAGACUUGAAGGUUAGAUCAGGGAAGUAUUGGGUACCCCAUCAAAGUCCUGAAAUCAAAAGGCACCUUUGCUAAAAGAAAUCUUAGUGGGGAGAAAGUACAAAUUCUCAUACUUCUGUAUGUUUUGUCACUUGCACAGGUAAAAGAAAACUAUGGGCAAUCUCCGCUAAUGCAUCUAUCCUCUACUCAGAGUUGCCUUCUUCAGUGAUUGUUUGGGGUCAAUCUCCGAUGACUGGAGGCUCUGCAGAGUGGGGAAGAGAAAACCAGAACCAGCCUCUCCAAAGAUAAAGAUGGAAAAGAGCAAACGAGCAAUAAAAAAUUCUCCCUUUACCCCUUAAA
Numida meleagris (helmeted guineafowl) is the source of this 7173-nucleotide long non-coding RNA. RefSeq lists it as uncharacterized. The transcript has 2 exons. Lineage: Eukaryota; Metazoa; Chordata; Aves; Galliformes; Numididae. The record is from RefSeq and is a predicted model, not a curated record.